GCCUUCAUGGUGUAAUCGUGAGCACGCUAGACUCGUAUUCGAGAGGUCCGUGGUUCGAGUCCCGGCGAAGCCA
RNAcentral lists this transfer RNA (73 nucleotides) under Stegodyphus mimosarum. It matches the Rfam family "tRNA". Rfam says of the family: Transfer RNA (tRNA) molecules are approximately 80 nucleotides in length. Their secondary structure includes four short double-helical elements and three loops (D, anti-codon, and T loops). Lineage: Eukaryota; Metazoa; Arthropoda; Arachnida; Araneae; Eresidae. The record is from Rfam by way of RNAcentral.